GCAGAUGAGGUGGAAUUGGCAGACGCACUAGAAUCAGGGUCUAGCGCUUUACGGCAUGCAGGUUCGAUUCCUGUCAUCUGCACCA
This 85-nucleotide transfer RNA is filed under the name Clostridium estertheticum. RNAcentral's name for it is "tRNA-Leu". It matches the Rfam family "tRNA". From Rfam's summary of the family: Transfer RNA (tRNA) molecules are approximately 80 nucleotides in length. Their secondary structure includes four short double-helical elements and three loops (D, anti-codon, and T loops). Lineage: Bacteria; Bacillati; Bacillota; Clostridia; Eubacteriales; Clostridiaceae. The record is from RNAcentral. RNAcentral also lists the same sequence under 1 other name.